Molecule: unclassified non-coding RNA, 117 nt
Organism: Papio anubis (olive baboon)
Lineage: Eukaryota; Metazoa; Chordata; Mammalia; Primates; Cercopithecidae
Rfam family: Metazoan signal recognition particle RNA
About the family: The signal recognition particle (SRP) is a universally conserved ribonucleoprotein. It is involved in the co-translational targeting of proteins to membranes.
Source: Ensembl
GCCGGGCGUGGUGGCUCACGCCUGUAAUCCCAGCACUUUGGGAGGCUGAGGCCGGCGGAUUACCUGAGGUCAGGAGUUCAAGAUCAGCCUGGCCAACAUGGUGAAACCCUGUCUCUA